Molecule: transfer RNA, 72 nt
Filed under: Marmota monax (woodchuck)
Lineage: Eukaryota; Metazoa; Chordata; Mammalia; Rodentia; Sciuridae
Description: tRNA.Undet
Source: RNAcentral
UGCUGGGUGCGCUCAGUGGCAGGGUGCUUGCUAGCAUGCAUGAGGCCCUGGGUUGGAUCCCCAGCACAGCAA